Molecule: long non-coding RNA, 335 nt
Organism: Armigeres subalbatus
Lineage: Eukaryota; Metazoa; Arthropoda; Insecta; Diptera; Culicidae
Exons: 3
Source: RefSeq, a predicted model, not a curated record
CGACGCCAUAUUGAUGUGCAAAUCGAAACAUCGUGGAGUUUGAUGUCAUUGUACCAAUUUGUAUCGAAGGUGAUGAGAAAAUUUUGGUCUUAUCGAAUAUUCAGGAAAAUGAGAAAAAGUAUCAAAGUAUGCUGCCGCGUCAUUACUACGUUCCACUAAUACGCUAAGAUCUCAUGGGUCUGGAUCUAGAACAAGAUGCCAGAUAAUUGAACCAUUGAACGGCAAUGAGUUUCCUAACCGCUAUAUAUGUGAAUGUCGGGCGUGAGUGGAACAGUGCUAGUGAUGCAGUAUUGGAAGAAGACAGCCAGUAUAAAAAUAUUCUCCUAAGUUUUCUG